This 335-nucleotide long non-coding RNA is filed under the name Lathyrus oleraceus (garden pea). RNAcentral describes it as "Pisum sativum (pea) long non-coding RNA (PSAT_LNC004805)". Lineage: Eukaryota; Viridiplantae; Streptophyta; Magnoliopsida; Fabales; Fabaceae. The record is from RNAcentral.
AAAGUUUAGUUCGAUUAAAACAAGUUACUAUAAACUCCUGAAGAGUCAUUACAUGCCCAUCAAGAGGUUUAUCAUACACUUCUUUUACCAUAGCAAUAUGAUCUCUUUCUAAAGCUUCAUUUUUGUUUUGAAAGUGUUUUAAUUCAUCUUUCGAUAGAUCAUAUUUCUUUUUCAAUAUUUUCAUGUGUGACUUUUUCAUAUGGUCUUGAAUAAAAGUAAUUAAAUCAGAACGGGAUAGUUUAGAAAAUAAUUCAUCCUCUUCUUCAGAAUCUAAACUAGAAUCUGAGUCAGAUUCUGUUUCAGAAGAUGUAAAUGUCAUCCAAGAUAGAUUGACU